This 562-nucleotide long non-coding RNA is filed under the name Cyanistes caeruleus (blue tit). Its description in RNAcentral is "lncRNA (ENSCCEG00000008012.1)". The record is from RNAcentral. Lineage: Eukaryota; Metazoa; Chordata; Aves; Passeriformes; Paridae.
UGGAAGCGUCCCUCUGGGGCACCAGUACCCUGUAGCUUUGCUACUGACAGGAGUGCAGGCCUGAGGUGUUCCUCACUAGGUGUCUAGUAUAUUUAAAAAUAAUUAAGGGAAAUCAAAGGGCAACCUAAUAAUGCUGAAGGUACCAAUAAAAACAUAAAGCUGCCAGUGGACCAGCUGAAGAGUGAGGAACACCCAAGAGCUGGCUGACUCUUCAGUGAGCUGGGUCAUGAGAUGGGCCCGGUCCGUGGCCUUGGUGUGGGGCCUUACGGGGCACUGGAACUCCCAUAGGGCUGUUGUGUACUUUGGGAAGCCAGAUCUGCUUCCCAGCUACUUCAGAGGGGCUUUCUGUGCAGACAGAGGAGGAGGAAAGGGUAGAGACAAAGGCAUUUCACCUUCCAGGGAAGCUGUGAGCAUGAAGAUGUCACCUAUGCUGUGUGCAGGACUGCCAGUAGCACGGAUGGUCUCUCUGCAGGGGUGGCAUGGAGGAACAGCCCUGCAUCAGAAAGAUGUUUCAAAACACUGUACAAAGAAAAUGAAUGGUGUGCCUGGGGUAGGCUGCUAG